UACGUAGGUGACCAGCGUUGUCCGGAUUUACUGGGCGUAAAGAGCGCGCAGGCGGUCGUUCAAGUCGAGUGUGAAAGCCCCCGGCUCAACUGGGGAGGGUCAUUCGAUACUGAUCGACUCGAAGGCAGGAGAGGGAAGUGGAAUUCCCGGUGUAGUGGUGAAAUUCGUAGAUAUCGGGAGGAACACCAGUGGCGAAGGCGGCGAUCUGGGAAGAUACUGACGCUGAGGUGCGAAAGCGUGGGGAGCAAACAGG
This 253-nucleotide ribosomal RNA is filed under the name uncultured bacterium. RNAcentral describes it as "partial 16S ribosomal RNA". It matches the Rfam family "Bacterial small subunit ribosomal RNA", at positions 524 to 776 of the family's 1533-position model. The record is from RNAcentral.